GACAACUAUCAAGAUUUCAUGGUGCAGCAUUCUGAGCCUUCAUUAUGAUAAGCGGCAUAAUUUAUUUUCUGAACAAAGAUGAGAAAAUUUAAAAUGAUGCAUGAAAAGCUCUCUCUCUCUCUCUCUGAACGUUGGAGCCAGCACCUUGGUUAUGAAAGUAAAGGGGAUGCAGUUUUUUUUCUCCUUGGGUAUCAGCGUAAUUUGCAAGGGAGGGUUUCAACUUGUCAGAAUUACUGGGCAGUCCUUGUAUAUAUUUGGGUGAGAGGCUGACAUUCAUCUUUCGGUUGAUCAAUUGGUUGGAGUGUUCAACAUUUUUUUAGGAGUGACAUUGCCAAUUUCAUUUGCAGCAGCUCUACAACAAUGGAAUCAUGUCUGAGAACUGUUGUGUGAAUACAUGAAGCAUGGGAUUUUUUGAAGCUUGUGAAGCCAGCACUCUGAAGAUUUGGGUAACCCUUUCUGUAUGUCUAUUUGUUUCUUAUUGUCUAGCUCUGUUUGGUAGCCCAGAAAAUGUAACAGAAGAAGGAAACUCGAAACUGUUGAAGUGUAUAUUUCAGUAAUGAAGCAGUAGAAAAUGAGAAGCUUUUCUUUAUUGAGCCCACUUCAAACAAAGAGGUUAAUUAUUAUUCUGUAAUUUUAAAUUCUUAAAUUAUGCAAAGAAAAAAGAAGUAUUUACCAGUUGAUGAAUGCU
Malania oleifera is the source of this 688-nucleotide long non-coding RNA. RefSeq lists it as uncharacterized. The record is from RefSeq and is a predicted model, not a curated record. The transcript has 3 exons. Lineage: Eukaryota; Viridiplantae; Streptophyta; Magnoliopsida; Santalales; Ximeniaceae.